CCCUUAGAUGUUCUGGGCAGCACGCGCGCUACAAUGGUCUUCGCAAACGGAUGCAUUCUCGAAGGAGAAUGCCAAUCUUGGAAUCUAUGCCUUGGUCGGGACAGUUGCUUGCAAUUUUUCGACUCGAACCAGGAAUUCCUUGUAAUCGUGAUUCAUCACAUCACGAUGAAUACGUCCCUGCCCUUUGUACACACCGCCCGUCGCUCCUACCGAUCGAAGAGUUAGGUGAAUUGUUUUGAUCGAUAAGAUUUGACUAUGGUCAACUCUCGUUGUGAAAUUCUGUGACUCUGACUGUUUAGAGGAAGGAAAAGUCGUAACA
This 319-nucleotide ribosomal RNA is filed under the name uncultured eukaryote. Its description in RNAcentral is "partial 18S ribosomal RNA". It matches the Rfam family "Eukaryotic small subunit ribosomal RNA", at positions 1470 to 1796 of the family's 1831-position model. The record is from RNAcentral.